Aegilops tauschii subsp. strangulata is the source of this 483-nucleotide non-coding RNA. NCBI's taxonomy places the organism in Eukaryota, Viridiplantae, Streptophyta, Magnoliopsida, Poales, Poaceae. The record is from RefSeq and is a predicted model, not a curated record.
UCUCUCGAUCUGGAGCUGCGUGGCGGUAGUUUUGUCAGAGGGGUUGCAGCGGGGCGGCGGUGUAGGCGUGAUUCCGGCGAGCUAACAACGGCGGUAGAGGCUCCUCUCCUCAAGAUUUUGUUGCUGCAACCUCUACAAUCUACCUCAUACAUUGGUCAAGCGUGCUGCUGCUGCUCCAAGGCAGGAUGCCACACUGAAGCCAAAUGCACAAAUUAUCCCAAAGAAGGCAGCAUACAUUUGUUCAGAUCAAAUCAGCUCAGAGUUAGCCAAUACCGAAUCAGUGUUUUUCUUUACCUUUGGCGUCAUGUACACAGAAAAGAAAACGCCUACGAAGAUCCUGAUUGCCGCUGUGAAGUAUUAUGGUGUAUGUUUGUAUAUUCACACGGAAAAUGAACUUGCUAUAUUAUGAUAUUGUUGUCGAAAAUUGUGUUCUGUGUAAUAUCAUAUAUGUAUCAUGCUUGUCAAUAUAUAGUGUUAUGUUUU